GGAAAUGGUAGCUUCGGCCUCCGCCCUGGGAUGGGCCCGCGGCGCAUUAGCUUGUUGGUGUGGGUAACGGCCCACCAAGGCGACGAUGCGUAGCUGGUCUGAGAGGACGAUCAGCCACACUGGGACUGAGACACGGCCCAGACUCCUACGGGAGGCAGCAGUGGGGAAUCUUGCGCAAUGGGCGGAAGCCUGACGCAGCAACGCCGCGUGUGGGAAGACGGCUUUCGGGUUGUAAACCACUUUCAGGGGGGACGAAGCUUCCGAGGUUAAUAGCCUACGGGGUGACGGUACCCCCAGAAGAAGCCCCGGCUAACUACGUGCCAGCAGCCGCGGUAAUACGUAGGGGGCGAGCGUUGUCCGGAAUCAUUGGGCGUAAAGCGCGUGUAGGCGGCUUGAUAAGUCUGGUGUGAAUUCUUGGGGCUCAACCCCAAACCUGCACUGGAUACUGUCAAGCUUGAGUCCGGUAGGGGAGAGCGGAAUUCCUAGUGUAGCGGUGAAAUGCGCAGAUAUUAGGAAGAACACCGGUGGCGAAGGCGGCUCUCUGGAACGGUACUGACGCUGAGACGCGAAAGCGUGGGGAGCGAACAGGAUUAGAUACCCUGGUAGUCCACGCCGUAAACGAUGGGCACUAGAUGUGGGCGGUGUCGACUCCGUCCGUGUCGAAGCUAACGCAUUAAGUGCCCCGCCUGGGGAGUACGGCCGCAAGGCUAAAACUCAAAGGAAUUGACGGAAUCGA
RNAcentral lists this ribosomal RNA (736 nucleotides) under uncultured bacterium. RNAcentral describes it as "bacterial SSU rRNA". It matches the Rfam family "Bacterial small subunit ribosomal RNA", at positions 200 to 922 of the family's 1533-position model. The record is from RNAcentral.